UAGGGAAUCUUCCGCAAUGGACGCAAGUCUGACGGAGCAACGCCGCGUGAGUGAAGAAGGAUUUCGGUUCGUAAAACUCUGUUGUUAGAGAAGAACAGCGCAUAGAGUAACUGUUAUGCGUGUGACGGUAUCUAACCAGAAAGCCACGGCUAACUACGUGCCAGCAGCCGCGGUAAUACGUAGGUGGCAAGCGUUGUCCGGAUUUAUUGGGCGUAAAGCGAGCGCAGGCGGUCAAUUAAGUCUGAUGUGAAAGCCCCCGGCUCAACCGGGGAGGGUCAUUGGAAACUGGUUAACUUGAGUGCAGAAGAGGAGAGUGGAAUUCCAUGUGUAGCGGUGAAAUGCGUAGAUAUAUGGAGGAACACCAGUGGCGAAGGCGACUCUCUGGUCUGUAACUGACGCUGAGGCUCGAAAGCGUGGGUAGCAAACAGG
RNAcentral lists this ribosomal RNA (429 nucleotides) under Bacteroidota bacterium. RNAcentral's name for it is "Bacteroidetes bacterium partial 16S ribosomal RNA". It matches the Rfam family "Bacterial small subunit ribosomal RNA", at positions 355 to 776 of the family's 1533-position model. The record is from RNAcentral. Lineage: Bacteria; Pseudomonadati; Bacteroidota.